RNAcentral lists this ribosomal RNA (470 nucleotides) under Pseudomonas sp. NN018607. RNAcentral's name for it is "bacterial SSU rRNA". It matches the Rfam family "Bacterial small subunit ribosomal RNA", at positions 30 to 493 of the family's 1533-position model. The record is from RNAcentral. Lineage: Bacteria; Pseudomonadati; Pseudomonadota; Gammaproteobacteria; Pseudomonadales; Pseudomonadaceae.
AUUGAACGCUGGCGGCAGGCCUAACACAUGCAAGUCGAGCGGAUGACAGGAGCUUGCUCCUGAAUUCAGCGGCGGACGGGUGAGUAAUGCCUAGGAAUCUGCCUGGUAGUGGGGGACAACGUUUCGAAAGGAACGCUAAUACCGCAUACGUCCUACGGGAGAAAGCAGGGGACCUUCGGGCCUUGCGCUAUCAGAUGAGCCUAGGUCGGAUUAGCUAGUUGGUGAGGUAAUGGCUCACCAAGGCGACGAUCCGUAACUGGUCUGAGAGGAUGAUCAGUCACACUGGAACUGAGACACGGUCCAGACUCGUACGGGAGGCAGCAGUGGGGAAUAUUGGACAAUGGGCGAAAGCCUGAUCCAGCCAUGCCGCGUGUGUGAAGAAGGUCUUCGGAUUGUAAAGCACUUUAAGUUGGGAGGAAGGGCAUUAACCUAAUACGUUAGUGUUUUGACGUUACCGACAGAAUAAGCAC